UACUCUUACGGGAGGCAGCAGUGGGGAAUAUUGCCCAAUGGGGGCAAGCCUGAUGCAGCCAUGCCGCGUGUGUGAAGAAGGCCUUCGGGUUGUAAAGCACUUUCAGUAGGGAGGAAGGUAGUGUAGUUAACAGCUGCAUUAGUGACGUACCACAGAGAGCCCGUUC
RNAcentral lists this ribosomal RNA (166 nucleotides) under uncultured bacterium. RNAcentral's name for it is "partial 16S ribosomal RNA". It matches the Rfam family "Bacterial small subunit ribosomal RNA", at positions 334 to 498 of the family's 1533-position model. The record is from RNAcentral.